RNAcentral lists this ribosomal RNA (1152 nucleotides) under Triticum aestivum (bread wheat). Its description in RNAcentral is "partial small subunit ribosomal RNA". Lineage: Eukaryota; Viridiplantae; Streptophyta; Magnoliopsida; Poales; Poaceae. The record is from RNAcentral.
UAGCCCAGAGUUUUUUUUUUUCCCCCCUCGCUGCUGCUAGGUUGCCGUGCCCAGCCGGCCCGCGGAGACGCUUUGGGAUUGGUGGUCGCUUCUCCCUGGAAGAAGGGGCGCGGCGGUGGAGGGCAGAGUUGUCACUAAUGACUACCCUUUAGGGGAGGAUAUGUGGGUAUCUUAGACUCGUGGUUGUUUGUUAUAAAAAGAACCUAAGGAGACUAGGUUUGUACUUCUACGUGGCGCGUACGUUUUAGACACCUCUUUAUCCUGUGUGGCUAUUCCUUGUGGUCCUACCUACGGGGAUAACACUUCGCUCGGUGAACCCACUUCUUACAGGGUGAUGCGUUCAGUGGACAAAGUACACACUUCCCUGAUUGGUGUUAGGUCGGGUCACAGCAGAUGAGUGGUGCUGUGUUCACCAAGUCGUUGUCUCCUUUCCUUACUUCCUUCGAUAGGUCCUUAAGUACCGUCGUGGGUACUUCUUUUCCUUCUUCUCCGCGAUGCGGUUCUUCACAUCUUGUUCCCCGUGACACGGUUGCGCACAGGUCUUGACUUUCCUCUCUCUUUCUACCCCCGCGAUGAGGUCGGGAACAGGUCUUAACUUUUCUCCCUCUCCCUCUACCCUUGGAACCUCGUUUCUUCGGGGUACUGAACAGUCCUCAUCAAACAAACUAUGAGAAGGAAAGACAUUCUUAAGUAAGUCAUGUGAUAAGGUCCCCUCGGUUACAAUCAUUAACCUCCUGUCGAUAGACUCCGUUCGUUAUUCACAUAAUCCUUUGAAAAAUGCAAUAGAACCUCUACGACCCAACUAUGCACGUUACAGUUACCUUCUCCGAUAUGCAAAGGACACAACAUUAACGAUAAAGAAAACACUCGUCUUAUACUGAUUACCCAGGAACGCGCCACGAAACGACCAUACAGUUACAUGACCCAAAAAACAUAAACCGCAUUUGAACAUACGUGACCCGCGAAGCGAACAUGUAGCACGACCUUAUACACCCCAAAAUGUAUAAAAAGAAGAAUUAGUGGUACGUCCGUAUUUAGACACCCGUGUGUAACACGGCCUUACCCACAACAACCACUCUAAGUAUUCGUAGUUCGAUGUUUUAAACCGAAACGGACCACGGCGUCGACGACACGCCUGAUAUUCUCUACCGG